Long non-coding RNA from Eriocheir sinensis (Chinese mitten crab), 859 nucleotides. RefSeq lists it as uncharacterized. Lineage: Eukaryota; Metazoa; Arthropoda; Malacostraca; Decapoda; Varunidae. The record is from RefSeq and is a predicted model, not a curated record. The transcript has 3 exons.
GGUAGGAAGGGCGUUAGAAUGUUUUAAAAGGGGUUGUAAUCUAUUAAAAGGGGUUGGAAUCUAUUAUAAAGGGUUAGAAUGCAUUAAGAAGUGUUGGAACCUAUUGAAAGGGAUUAGAAGGGGUUGUAAGGUGUUAGGUGUUAAAUGGGGUUAGAAGGUGUCUGAAUCUAUUAAAAGGGGGAAUCUAUUAAAAAAAGUUAAAAUGCAUUAAGAAGUGUUGGAACCUAUUGAAAGGGAUUAGGAGGGGUUGUAAGGGGUUAGGUGUCAGGUGUUAAAUGGGGUUAGAAGGUGUUUGAAUCAUUUAAAAGGUGUUAGAAGGUGUCUGAAUCUAUUAAAAGGUGUUAGAAGGUGUUGGAAAGGGCUAGAAGGUGUUAGAAGGAGCUAGAAUCUAUCAAAAGGUGUUAGAAGGUGUUGGAAAGGGCUAGAAGGUGUUAGAAGGAACUAGAAUCUAUUAAAAGGUGUUAGAAGGUGUCGGAAAGGGAUUUAAGAUGUCGGAAGGUGAUUGACAGACAGAUAUGAUACCCUGAGACAUAAUAUAUAGAAACCCCACAUAGACCUCAGCUGCUGGGAUCUCUAUGGCUCAAUGCUAGAGAGUCUGCCUUCCAUCUCAGGGGCCAAGGUUGGAAUCCCAGGCAGCGUUGGCAAAAAGAUUCAUUCUCCUGAGCAGGCAAAUUUAUCGUGAUUUGAAAAGCAACAAAAACAACAACAGACAGAUAGAUACAGAUAGACUGAAAGAUUUACAUAGAGAGAGACACAUAGAUACAUGGUUACAGACAUCCAGAAAGAUAACUAGAUAAAGAGAUAGCAAAUAAGUAAGAAAAUAAAUGCUAAAUAAUGAAAUAAAACUAUAAGAGAGAGA